GGCUAGUCUGAAAACAGUGAAUUAUCUCAGCUGACUGUUCACAGUCAGUUACAGAUUGAACUUAUUCUACUCUUUCCCUUUUUCUCACUGUUGCACUUGAUAGUCUUAA
Molecule: unclassified non-coding RNA, 109 nt
Organism: Aotus nancymaae (Ma's night monkey)
Lineage: Eukaryota; Metazoa; Chordata; Mammalia; Primates; Aotidae
Rfam family: Y RNA
About the family: Y RNAs are components of the Ro ribonucleoprotein particle (Ro RNP), in association with Ro60 and La proteins. The Y RNAs and Ro60 and La proteins are well conserved, but the function of the Ro RNP is not known.
Source: Ensembl